CUUCCCGCCUCGGCCUCCCAGAGUGCUGAGAUUACAGAUGUGAACCCAUGCCAGGCCAGGAAUUUUGUUUUUUAGGAAGGCUUUCUACUAAUGGAAUUCCUGGCCUUGAGAGGAUAUUACUUUCGACGGAAAGGAUUUUUUUGUUAUUAAAAGCAGCUUAAAAUUGGUGCCUUAUUCAGACACAAGCAAAAGGACAUUAGCCCAGCUUUGGAAAUAGAGCCACCUAAGCUGAAGAUUCCCUUGAGAACAAGUACUGUCCUGCGGUUUCAUGGCCUUUCUUCCAUUUGUGGUUCUUGCGAAGUGGAAUUUAAAUGACAUCUUAUCAAGAUCGAUAAAUACUAGUUUCCCAGUGCUGGAAUAUAGAAAAUGGAUGGACAAGUAAAUCCCACUCAGCACCCAUAGUCCAGGCAUGGGGACCUCAACACACCUGAGCCCCAAACAUCACCUUUCAUUCUGGACCUACCAUGAAAGACUUCUGAAUCCAGGAAGAGAAACUGACUGGGCAACAUGUUAUUCAGAAACAGGACCUUGCCCUGUCACUCAGGAUGGAGUUCAAUGGUCCUAUCAUGGCUCAUUAUAGCCUUAAACUCCCAGGCUCAAGCAAUCCUACCAUGUCAGCCUUCCCAGUAGCUGGGACUACAGGAAGUGACCUCACAAUGACUCAAGCUACCACAUACUGUUGAUUGUGAAAUGCCAGUUGAAGCAUAUGUCCUGCGAGCUUAGGGGUGCUACAAGUUGACCACUGCAGCAGUAAAGAUGACUCUGAAGAAUGGCAUGGGAUGGAUCCUUUCGAAUGCACUUGAGCAGCGGUCUCCAACCACAGGGCCACAGAGCUGGAGCUGGAUCUACCAUGAAAGACUUCUGAAUCCAGGAAGAGAGACUGACUGGGCAACAUGUUAUUCAGGGUCUCCCUCUGUUGUCCAAGGCUGGAGUGUAGUAGUGCUA
This 945-nucleotide long non-coding RNA is filed under the name Homo sapiens (human). RNAcentral's name for it is "HSALNT0321716". The record is from RNAcentral. Lineage: Eukaryota; Metazoa; Chordata; Mammalia; Primates; Hominidae.